This 206-nucleotide ribosomal RNA is filed under the name uncultured bacterium. Its description in RNAcentral is "partial 16S ribosomal RNA". It matches the Rfam family "Bacterial small subunit ribosomal RNA", at positions 1295 to 1500 of the family's 1533-position model. The record is from RNAcentral.
GGAUUGAAGGCUGAAAUUCGCCUUCAUGAAGCCGGAAUUGCUAGUAAUGGCAGGUCAGCAUACUGCCGUGAAUACGUUCCCGGGCCUUGUACACACCGCCCGUCACACCAUGAGAGUUGGAAAUACCCGAAGUCUGUGAGCUAACUUAAGGGAGGCAGCAGUCGAAGGUAGAGCCAAUGAUUGGGGUGAAGUCGUAACAAGGUAUC